This 421-nucleotide ribosomal RNA is filed under the name uncultured Methanosaeta sp. RNAcentral describes it as "bacterial SSU rRNA". It matches the Rfam family "Archaeal small subunit ribosomal RNA", at positions 918 to 1338 of the family's 1478-position model. Lineage: Archaea; Methanobacteriati; Methanobacteriota; Methanomicrobia; Methanotrichales; Methanotrichaceae. The record is from RNAcentral.
CCGGAAAUCUUACCGGGACCGACAGCAAUAUGAAGGCCAGGCUGAAGACUUUGCCGGAUUAGCUGAGAGGUGGUGCAUGGCCGUCGUCAGUUCGUACUGUGAAGCAUCCUGUUAAGUCAGGCAACGAGCGAGACCCACGCCCACAGUUGCCAGCGUACUCUCUGGAGUGACGGGUACACUGUGGGGACCGCCGCUGCUAAAGCGGAGGAAGGAAUGGGCAACGGUAGGUCAGUAUGCCCCGAAUAUCCCGGGCUACACGCGAGCUACAAUGGUUGGUACAAUGGGUAUCUACCCCGAAAGGGGACGGGAAUCUCCUAAAACCAAUCUUAGUUCGGAUUGAGGGCUGCAACUCGCCCUCAUGAAGCUGGAAUCCGUAGUAAUCGCGUUUCAACAGAACGCGGUGAAUACGUCCCUGCUCCUU